AAUAAUCAGAAGUUCUAUGGAAACAAUAUAUCUAGUAUUUCUCAUUUAUGAUUGAAAAUGAUCUUGAAGACUGAAAUUCCUUGACCUCCUUUAAAAGAAUGAAGCAAACAUUGUUUUAACCAUACAGAACAUCCAGACAUCUGCAGUUCGCCUAUAGGAUAGGUUUGGAUUAUUCGGAUUACCUAAACUGCAGACACCAAUGGAUAUAACAAAUAUGUUGAUGAGAAAAUCCAUAAGGAGAAUUAGAGCUUACUUUAAUUCCAUGAUCCAACUUUGGCACUUACCUUGAUAAAUGCAGGAGAGCUGCAACGUGCCCUUAAAUUACAGAGAACUAACAUUUACUGCAGUUAGCAUAAUGGGUAUCACGCUAGACCUCACCGUGUCUGGCUGUUUCAGCACUUCAAGUCCCUUUGGCCUUGCAGAGGUGAGGUCAGCAUAAGGAGGCAGAUAGACAAGCUAUUUGCUGCAAGUCCUCAAAGGUAUGAUCGUAGAAUGAUUUUAGCUUGACAACAAGAUGUUUGAUCUGCCUUCAAUAACAAGAUGCUUGAUCUUUUCCACAACUGCAAAUUUAAAAUUAAAUGAGUAAAAAAACUAACACUAAAACAAGUAGUGAAAACAUAUUUUCCGAUGCCUAUCUAGCAUGUAGUUUUCUACUUUCAUCUUAAAGACUCCUGGACCAUUGUUCCUCCAGAAAUGCAAAAUCUGCAAACUGGAACCAUAUCUUCAGAAUGACAUAUGAAUGGUGAGCAUUCAAUCAUCAGAAUUCACUCUAAGUUUAGUGUUAAAACCCAAUCUCUUUAGUAGAAUGGGUGAGGUAUUCUAAAUCUGUAUUCUCAUAUACAAAAUCAUACAAAGCAUACAAGCACGUAUUCUCAUAUACAAAAUCAUACAAUUAAAGUGAGUGUACAACAAAAUAUAUCCAAUAACAACCAUGAUCCAUGUGUUUAAAAAAAACAAGCAUGCUCCAUAGACUAUGCAAGCUUACUCCUAGGUAAAAGCAGUGAAAAAAUGUAGUUAGAGUUUGGGUUUCAUAAUGAAAUUUAAGAGAUGCACAUGAAUUUUCAAAAUGGCUAGGAAUAAAAAGGUUGUGGUGAAGAGACAUUGGCAAUUUAGUUUACCCAUGUUCACGUGCUUGCCUCCUAGCAUCAUGGCCUUCUUCUUCUUCCUCUCGCAGCAGGUCAUCCUCUGUCCUGGGGCUCGCCAGCAGCCAGGAAGGAGAGGACAAGGCCUAGGCAGAGCUCGUGCCCACACUCGCGCGGUGGCGGCGAAGAACCCAAAUAAUCGUAGAAGCUAU
This 1294-nucleotide long non-coding RNA is filed under the name Sorghum bicolor (sorghum). Its description in RNAcentral is "long non-coding RNA (SBIC_LNC004700)". Lineage: Eukaryota; Viridiplantae; Streptophyta; Magnoliopsida; Poales; Poaceae. The record is from RNAcentral.